GGCGUGCUUACCAUGCAAGUCGAACGGUAAGGCCCCUUCGGGGGUACACGAGUGGCGAACGGGUGAGUAACACGUGGGUAAUCUGCCCUGCACUUCGGGAUAAGCCUGGGAAACUGGGUCUAAUACCGGAUAUGAGCUCCUGCCGCAUGGUGGGGGUUGGAAAGUUUUUUCGGUGCAGGAUGAGCCCGCGGCCUAUCAGCUUGUUGGUGGGGUAAUGGCCUACCAAGGCGACGACGGGUAGCCGGCCUGAGAGGGUGAUCGGCCACACUGGGACUGAGACACGGCCCAGACUCCUACGGGAGGCAGCAGUGGGGAAUAUUGCACAAUGGGCGGAAGCCUGAUGCAGCGACGCCGCGUGGGGGAUGACGGUCUUCGGAUUGUAAACCCCUUUCAGUAGGGACGAAGCGCAAGUGACGGUACCUGCAGAAGAAGCACCGGCCAACUACGUGCCAGCAGCCGCGGUAAU
RNAcentral lists this ribosomal RNA (466 nucleotides) under uncultured bacterium. Its description in RNAcentral is "bacterial SSU rRNA". It matches the Rfam family "Bacterial small subunit ribosomal RNA", at positions 41 to 524 of the family's 1533-position model. The record is from RNAcentral.